CUACGGGGGGCAGCAGUGGGGAAUAUUGGACAAUGGGGGAAACCCUGAUCCAGCAAUGCCGCGUGUGUGAAGAAGGCCUGCGGGUUGUAAAGCACUUUCGGUUGGGAGGACUGCUUCUAGCACUAAUAUUGUUGGAAGUUGACGUUACCUUCAGAAGAAGCACCGGCUAACUCCGUGCCAGCAGCCGCGGUAAUACGGAGGGUGCAAGCGUGAAUCGGAAUUACUGGGCGUAAAGCGCGCGUAGGCGGCUAGAUCAGUCGGGUGUGAAAGCCCCGGGCUUAACCUGGGAACUGCAUCCGAUACUGUCUAGCUUGAGGACAGGAGAGGAGAGUGGAAUUCCACAUGUAGCGGUGAAAUGCGUAGAUAUGUGGAGGAACACCAAUGGCGAAGGCAGCUCUCUGGCCUGAUACUGACGCUGAGGUGCGAAAGCGUGGGGAGCAAACAGGAUUAGAUACCCGGGUAGUC
This 465-nucleotide ribosomal RNA is filed under the name uncultured bacterium. RNAcentral's name for it is "partial 16S ribosomal RNA". It matches the Rfam family "Bacterial small subunit ribosomal RNA", at positions 339 to 795 of the family's 1533-position model. The record is from RNAcentral.